Small nucleolar RNA from Myotis lucifugus (little brown bat), 145 nucleotides. Lineage: Eukaryota; Metazoa; Chordata; Mammalia; Chiroptera; Vespertilionidae. The record is from Ensembl.
ACCCCCUGGCAAUGAGCAAGGAGACACCUGAUCGGUGGUGUUGCUCUUAUAUCAAUCAGGGGCAAAGUAUAUGUACAGUCCUUAGUUCAUCCUAGCUUGAUGCCUGUGUCGGUGGCCAGAGCUGUUUCAUGCCUGAGGCACAUAA